Long non-coding RNA from Sebastes umbrosus (honeycomb rockfish), 151 nucleotides. RefSeq lists it as uncharacterized. The transcript has 3 exons. The record is from RefSeq and is a predicted model, not a curated record. Lineage: Eukaryota; Metazoa; Chordata; Actinopteri; Perciformes; Sebastidae.
AACCACUAACUCAUGUAGCCCAUCUAUUGACCAUGUAUUCUGAACCAUGAGCACUUUGUCUGCUUUACACUGAUUUUGAAAUUCUAAAACACACUUUUUGCAACUAACUACGCACUGUUAUCUACAUACAACACAUUCAAAACUACAAGCC